ACAGAGGGUGCGAGCGUUAAUCGGAAUUACUGGGCGUAAAGCGCGCGUAGGUGGUUUGUUAAGUCGGAUGUGAAAGCCCAGGGCUCAACCUUGGAAUUGCACCCGAUACUGGCAGGCUAGAGUACGGUAGAGGGGUGUGGAAUUUCCUGUGUAGCGGUGAAAUGCGUAGAUAUAGGAAGGAACAUCAGUGGCGAAGGCGACACCCUGGACCGAUACUGACACUGAGGUGCGAAAGCGUGGGGAGCAAACAG
This 251-nucleotide ribosomal RNA is filed under the name uncultured prokaryote. RNAcentral's name for it is "partial 16S ribosomal RNA". It matches the Rfam family "Bacterial small subunit ribosomal RNA", at positions 525 to 775 of the family's 1533-position model. The record is from RNAcentral.